UACGUAGGGUGCGAGCGUUGUCCGGAAUUAUUGGGCGUAAAGAGCUCGUAGGCGGUUUGUCGCGUCUGCUGUGAAAUCCCGAGGCUCAACCUCGGGUCUGCAGUGGUACGGGCAGGCUAGAGUGCGGUAGGGAGAAUGGAACUCCUGGUGUAGCGGUGGAAUGCGCAGAUAUCAGGAAGAACACCGAUGGCGAAGGCAGUUCUCUGGCCGUAACUGACGCUGAGGAGCGAAAGCGUGGGAGCGAACAGG
Molecule: ribosomal RNA, 249 nt
Filed under: uncultured bacterium
Lineage: Bacteria
Description: partial 16S ribosomal RNA
Rfam family: Bacterial small subunit ribosomal RNA
Source: RNAcentral